GGGUGAGUACGCGUGGGAACAUACCCUUUCCUGCGGAAUAGCUCCGGGAAACUGGAAUUAAUACCGCAUACGCCCUACGGGGGAAAGAUUUAUCGGGGAAGGAUUGGCCCGCGUUGGAUUAGCUAGUUGGUGGGGUAAAGGCCUACCAAGGCGACGAUCCAUAGCUGGUCUGAGAGGAUGAUCAGCCACAUUGGGACUGAGACACGGCCCAAACUCCUACGGGAGGCAGCAGUGGGGAAUAUUGGACAAUGGGCGCAAGCCUGAUCCAGCCAUGCCGCGUGAGUGAUGAAGGCCUUAGGGUUGUAAAGCUCUUUCACCGGAGAAGAUAAUGACGGUAUCCGGAGAAGAAGCCCCGGCUAACUUCGUGCCAGCAGCCGCGGUAAUACGAAGGGGGCUAGCGUUGUUCGGAAUUACUGGGCGUAAAGCGCACGUAGGCGGAUAUUUAAGUCAGGGGUGAAAUCCCAGAGCUCAACUCUGGAACUGCCUUUGAUACUGGGUAUCUUGAGUAUGGAAGAGGUAAGUGGAAUUCCGAGUGUAGAGGUGAAAUUCGUAGAUAUUCGGAGGAACACCAGUGGCGAAGGCGGCUUAC
RNAcentral lists this ribosomal RNA (589 nucleotides) under Rhizobium sp. EECC-210. RNAcentral describes it as "bacterial SSU rRNA". It matches the Rfam family "Bacterial small subunit ribosomal RNA", at positions 104 to 729 of the family's 1533-position model. Lineage: Bacteria; Pseudomonadati; Pseudomonadota; Alphaproteobacteria; Hyphomicrobiales; Rhizobiaceae. The record is from RNAcentral.